Molecule: ribosomal RNA, 468 nt
Filed under: uncultured bacterium
Lineage: Bacteria
Description: partial 16S ribosomal RNA
Rfam family: Bacterial small subunit ribosomal RNA
Source: RNAcentral
GACGAACGCUGGCGGCGUGCUUAACACAUGCAAGUCGAACGGAAAGGCCCUGCUUUUGUGGGUUGCUCGAGUGGCGAACGGGUGAGUAACACGUGAGUAACCUGCCCUUGCCUUUGGGAUAACUUCAGGAAACUGGGGCUAAUACCGGAUAGGAGCUCCUGCUCCUUGGUGGGGGUUGGAAAGUUUCGGCGGUUGGGGAUGGACUCGCGGCUUUUCAGCUUGUUGGUGGGGUAGUGGCUUACCAAGGCUUUGACGGGUAGCCGGCCUGAGAGGGUGACCGGCCACAUUGGGACUGAGAUACGGCCCAGACUCAUACGGGAGGCAGCAGUGGGGAAUAUUGCACAAUGGGCGGAAGCCUGAUGCAGCAACGCCGCGUGCGGGAUGACGGCCUUCGGGUUGUAAACCGCUUUCGCCUGUGACGAAGCGUGAGUGACGGUAAUGGGUAAAGAAGCACCGGCUAACUACGUG